UGGUGAUGGACAAUGACUGUAAUGGGGUAUGUGGUGGGAACUUGAUAAUAGGGGGAGUCUAGUAACCAUAAUGUUGCGCAAGUAAUUGUACAUUAAUGAUAUCAACAACAAAAAAGCUAAUUCUGUUGACUGUGUGGAGAAUGAACUAGGAGUGGUGGUAGAUAAUAGUUUUAAUUUUCAUUUCAGUCUUUCCCUGCUUUGUGAAACAUCUGACCCAAGUAUGCAGCAAAAUGGAUUGAUCCUUUUUCCUCUCCUUUUUAUCUUAAGAAGUCACUAAAAAAUUGGCAUCAAGAAAAAAAAAGGAAAAGUUCUAGUGUGCCUUGAUUUUUAGAAUAUCUCCUGCCCCAAGUUGGUGGACAUGAGACUACUUGUUGAGCUCUGGGCCAAGGGCAAGAAUGUGCCAAAUCUAGAGACACAGAGCAGUCAACACAGCCUGCAGAAGUAUUUCAUCCUGUAGCAUAAGGCCUAAAACUGGUGUCUAAUAUUACAUGCUGGCUGGAUAUCUGAUGAAAUCCCAAGAACCUAGAAUGACUCAAUUGCAAGUUUCUCUCCCCAGUAUGCUACUGUGGAAAAGGUCAGCUAGUCAAACAACUUUCCUUAUCAAACAGAACAGAUGCAGUUCCUGCCAACCUCCGAGUAGUGGGUUUCAGUUCCCCGCCAGCCCAUGGAAUUACCCAAAAGUCAAUUACAUUCUCCUGUGGGAACCAGAGAGCACCUCACCCUCUUGAUCCUACAAAGCAAGCCUGCCUCCCACUGCCUUUGGCUGUCCACUCUGUUUCCAAAUACAACCCCCACGUGUCCCUGCAAGGCAUGUGGUAUCCUCCCAAGCUGUAAGUAUAUGUGACUAAUAAAUUGCUGCCAAUAUCUGUCCAGUGUUGGGUGUCAUGUUGUGGAUAAAAUGAGAGUUCCUGUGGCCAGGAUUCUCACCUGGCUGUGGUUGACUAGCUCACUGCACACCUGUGGGCAAUACAUGGCUGUUGACUCUAUAAAAAGAGCUCUACCCAUGCUCUGGGCAGGACAUGGUGGCAGGGCUGUAAGGCUGCAGGAGAGCAGAGCAGAGGCUGGAGUGGUGGCAGCACCGAGGACAGAGGCCCAGAGGACGGCUGUGCAGGACGACUGUGCAGAGAGGCCAGCGGGAUGGCUGUGCAGACAGAGGGGCCCAGAGGACGGCUGUGCAGACAGAGGGGUCCAGAGGCAGAGACUGGCUUGCUGCAUACAGACUCGCUCUUAGUGAACAGGAUUUUAGUGACUGACCUGGAAAUAAAGUUGGGUAUAACUCUUUCACCCCAAGAACAUUUUGCUGUCAUUUUCUUUGGUCACACUGAAUCCAUAGCAAACUUGCCUGGGGCUGAAACCCAUUGGCAAAGACCCAUGUGUUUGGCCAUCUCCAUAACCAUAGGGUGGGAAUCCCUCCCUCACCAACAGGGGAGAGAAGAAGUAAUUAAAGCACCCCUAAUUCCAGGCCAGCCAAUCACCCUUAAAAAUUGGAGGCUUUGCUUGGUUUCUGCAGAGUCAUUGUCUGCACAAAGCCCUGCCUCCUACAGCCAUGGAACUGGGACCACCAUCCCCAUUUAUUCAAAUCAGCUACAUGCAUGCACUGGGUGUGGUCUCGCUUUUGGCUUCUUGGAUAUUUCUCAACCUAUAUUCUAAUCCUGAGCAGUCAUCAUUCUCGGAACUUCUUCGUGUCCCCUGACUCACCUCCUUCUGCUCUCUUCAAGAGAUCUAGACACCACUAUCUUUUUCUGCUUUUACUAUGAUCUCUGUUUCCUCUUUUCCAGUCCCAGAAGGAUCAUGAAUCAUGUUUCAAAAGUAAAUGAUGAUCUAUGGAGAGGAUAUUGCAUUUCCAAUAUCCUUAGGUUCUUUUAAUUAUCAAGGUCCCAUAAGCCUGAAUCUUCAGGAAUCGGGAGAUGGCCAACUUUAACCAAAUAACUGCCAUAUUUGACAGGCUUGGGGAAGAGCCUAUGCAACCCUGUUGAGUCCAGGGAGUUGAGUCAUAUUGUACUUCCCCAAGAAAACAAUAAGAUCCUCAAAGGCAAAGGGCCCACCUUGGAUUUGCGUCUCUUAGAUGCCUAUUCUAGCACACUGGUGCAGUGGGGAAGAGACCCUGGAAAUCGACCACCUGGGCUCAAAUCCUAGUUCACCCACUAAUCAGAUGAGUGGCUUCAGGCAGCUUCUCCAAUCCUUGGAAACCUCAGUUGUAUCUUUGUGUCCAAGGGCUGUUUUAAGUCUUAAAUGUUAAAAGUGUAAAUGUAUAUAAAGCUCUUAGUCCCUGCCUGCUACAGAGUAAUCACUGAAUAAAUGUUAGCUAUUAAUAUAAUUUAAAGUGCUAAACAUAUGUCUAACUAUGUUAGGUGUUAUUGUUAUUUGGAGGGUGCCCAGGCAUCAUUCCUAAACUCCAAGCCCAUAAUUUAACCCCUCUGGAUAUUCUGCCUAAAUAGUUCAGAGGAAAAGCAAACUGGAACAAAGGAGAAAUCACUCUCUCUGCUCACUCCACCCCACCCACAGGUGCUCCUCCAGAACUCCCAACCACCUGCCAUCAGCUCAGUUUCCCAAGCCAGAAAUCCAAGGGCCAGUUCCCAGAUCCCCUGUCUCUCUUCUCCUUCCUCAUUCCAUCCAAUCUCAUUAACUCCUCCAGCAACCAUUUAUUGGGCAUGCUUGCACUAGGCAGGUGCCAGGCACAAACAAGUGAAUGAGACAGGUUCCUCUGGAGGUUAGGUGUAGUGUGGGAGAUAGGCAGGCAACAUGUAAAGAAAUGAGAUGAAAAUAGCUUGGGAUAAAGAAUAUAAAAGAAAAAAACAGCAUGCCAUGAUAGAGACAAUGGACUUAGUUCUGAUAGGGGUCAGGGAUGGCUCUUCAAGGAAGAGACAUUCAAACUAUAUCUGAAUGUCAAGAAGAAGUUGGCUGUGAUGAGUUGGAGGAAGGCAUUCCAGACAGAGGGACAGCAAGCACAAGGCACUGAAGCAGGAAAGAAAUGAGUGUGUUCCAAGAAGUGUCAGAUGGCCAGUGUGACUGAGACAUUUAUGACAUGGUCCCUACAUUUUAACUCUAUCUAGAAAGGGACACAGGCUUGUUUUCUUACUGCUUUGCAAACUUUGUGGUGCCAUUUCAGUGAAACGAUAGCUCAAAGAAAGGCAAAAUCCAUACAGGCAAGAAAAAUAAGGGGAAAUUUAUGAAGCUCAUGGGUUGUGAGCUGACCCUCACUAGAUGAAGAGACUAGAACAUCUGUUGGGAUAAGAAGAGGCAUCCCAACAGGACCAGCAGCAUGAGCAAGGUCCAGAAAGAAGUUAGUAUGAUAUAUGCUAAGAUUAUAACGAGACUUGGAUCACUCCUCCGAUUGGAAAGAACAUUAAACAAAGACUGAUUUGGGGAAACCUUUAAAAAAAAAAGGUUGAGGUGUUUGAACCAAUUGCAAAGUCAAAAUGGAGCCAUUGUUGGGCUGACAGGGAACAUGAGGAAGGCAGUGACUUAAGAACAUCCUUCAGACAGUCAUGAGCACGUUGGUGGAGGGGGAAACUCUGGGAAAGGAGAUUACUUAGACGUCAGCUGGGUUCAUACAGGAGUGACUCAGUAAGCAAUCUGGACUACUAACUUAGUGGUGGUAAUAAAAAAGGAAGAAUCUGAGAACUUUAAAAAAUUCUUUUAAGUCCAACAAUAAAGGAUUAUUUAAAUAAGGUAUGACACACUCAUAUAACAGAGUAGUAUGCAGCUAUUUAAAAUGAUGCCAUAGGAUAGCAAAUGACACUGAAAGACGUUCAAAGCAGAACACAACCUGGAUAACAUUUCUUUCUUAAGGUGAAUGUGAGCCUUUAAUUAGAGCUCAUAUUUUCUUUCUGCAAAUAUAUUAUUUAUUAAAAACCUUUAACCCUGAAUGCAAAUUUAAUGAGACAAAGAAGAACCACCUCAUUCCUCAUUAGAAUAUGCAUGGAUAAUAACAAAUACAAUCAUUCAGAGAUAUCAGAGAAGGUCAAUGGCAUUUCUUGAAAUCCAGAAAUCAAGUUUAAAAACCAUCUUUAGGGUUUUCCUCGAUAAUGGUUUGUUUUGAGUAAGUCAGUUGAGUUGGCAUAUGGCUGGCUCUAUACUUUGCUAUGAGCUAAAUUCUGCCCCUCUCCUCCCAGAUGCAGAGCUUAAAGUCCUAACCUCUGUUUUCUCAGAAUAUGACUGUAUUUGAGGAUGUAGUUUGUAAUAAGGUAAUUAAGGUAAAAUGAGAUUAUACAAAUAGGCCUUAAUCCAAUCUGACUAGCGUCAUAAAAAGAGAUUAGGACACAGGUGCAGAGGGGCUAUCAUGUGACCAUACAGGGAAAAAUGGCUAUCUGUAAGAAAAGGAGAGAAGCCUUAGAAGAAACCAACCCUGCUGACACACUGGUCUUGGACUUCCAGCCUCCAGAAUUGUUAGAAAACAAAAUUCUGUUAUUUAAACCACCCUAUGUGCAAUGCUUUGCUAUGACAACCCUACUGAUACACCUCUCUUCUUUCUUUUUAAUUGCGAUAAGUAAUUUUAAAUACAAAAUCUAAAGCAUGGGCCUGAAAGUUCCUCAAAUACUUAAUUGUACAAUUUCCAUAUGAUUCAGCUAUUCUACUCCUAGGCAAAAACCCAAAACAAUUGAAAGCAAGGAUGCAGAUUAGAUACUUGUACACAAAUGUUCACACUGACAACAGCCAAAAAAUGAAAAUAACCCAAGUGUCCAUCAACAGAUGAAUGAAUAAACAAAAUGUGACAAAUCAACACAAUGGAAUAUUACUCAGCCAUAAAAAGGAAUGAAGUUCUGACACAUGCUAUAGCAUGGAUGAACCUUUCAAACAUGAUCCUAAGUGAAAUAAGCCAGACACAAAAGGCCAUAUACUCUCUAACUCCUUUUAUAUGAAAUAUCCAGAAUAUGCAAAUUCAUAGAGACACAAAGUAAAAUAAAGGUUAUCAGAGGCUGGGGAAGAGAGGAAUGGGAAGUUAGUGUUUAACAGGUACAGAGCUUCUGUUUUGGAUGAUGGAAAAAUUCAGGAGAUGGAUGGUAAUGGUUGCACAAUGUUGUAAAUUUACUUAUGUUGCUGAACUGUACACUUCAAAAGUUAAAGUCUUAAAUUUCUUAUGUAUAUUUACCAUAGUUUUUUAAAUUGCCAAAACAAAAAAAUGAUUGCUUAGAUAACUGGGAUUUUUUUUAUCUUGUGGAAAUUUCUUUAUAUUACUAAAAAAUUUGUACUUUUUUUUGCAGCAUCUAGACAUUCUUUUAGCCCAAGUCUCAUUCGGAGGCUUGGUCAGUUUGCUGUUCAUAUUUUCUCAUGUCCUCCAAAGGCAUAUAAGUGUGUCUUGUAAAAAAAUUCCAAUGGAGAUCCCCAGUGUGGCCAGCAAGCCAGGAGAACAGUAUCCAUGAGGAUUUGCAAAGAAAAAGGGAUAAUCCAGUGGUUGGUGGAUAUAAAUCUUACCUUUGGCUUUCUUAAGAUGGAAUUCCAAACACUGACCUCACCUGAGGCACUGACUUUUCAUCCACCUUCAGGAAUGAAAUUUCUACUUUUCUGAUGGGAACGAAUCUACCUUCAACUUCACAUAAAGUACUAAAGGACCAGGUUCACCAAGGCACUUGCUGAUCCCUGUGUUGAGCCAGGCCCCUAUGCAGGUAGCCAUCGAAUGUGCACGGUGCCCAUUCAGUUUGAGGACUGCCUGGUGCAGCACCUGGAAACAGCUUCUGCUUGCUCAGGGUACAUCCACAUUUUCCCCUGUGUCACUGGGAGAACAAAGCAGCUCAGCCUCCAAGGAGACUGAGAUGGGAAAACCUUCAAGCAGCCAGGCAGUGCCAAUGGGUAAUUAUUGUGAGUGUCUUUGCCAUGUGGAGGUUUCUGAAUGUGUUGCAGAGGCGUCAUCAAAAAAGGGCUGGGACAGGUCGUUCCUGGAGAUGAAGGUGGCACCCAGGAGAACAGAGGGCAGGCUGAAGCUGCUGCCUCACAGAAGCAGAUCCAAAUGUCAAAGAGAAGCAGAGGGGUAAAAUUAGAGAGAGCAGAACAUUUUAGGAAAGGAAGGAGUCUGUGCGGGAAACUCACUCUAAAUAAACCCAAUCUGUAAAAAUAUAGAUUUACAAAAUAAGUAAAUGGGAUGGGUGAGAGGCAUUUUUGAAAAAGAGUCCUUUCAAUGACAUUUGGAUGAAAUUACAUAAAAAUCAAGUCCUCCUUUUUAAGAGCUUAUCUAUCCAAGAGAUAGGGGGACGUCCAGAGCCUGGGCUUGAAUUGACUGUUGUGAGACCUCUCUAGACCUCAUCCUGGUUUUAUUUUAUUUCUUUUUCUUUUUUAUUGAUAUACAGUCUUAUUUUAGUUUCAAGUAUACAACACAGUAGUUCAACAGUUACCCAUAUUAUGAAUCUUCACUCUCACCAGUACAGCUACUAUCUGUCAACACAGAAAGAUGUUACAGAAUCAGAGACUGUAUUCUCCAUGCAACUGCAAAUGGAAUUAUUUUCCUGAUUUUUCUGCUAGUUCAUCACUAGUAUAUAGGAAUGCAACCGAUUUCUGUGUAUUAAUUUUGUAGCCUGCAACUUUGCUGAAUUCAGUUAUUAGUUCUAGUAGUUUUGGAGUGGAUUCCUUAGGGUUUUCUAUGUACAAUAUCAUGUCAUCUGCAAACAGGGACAGUUUGACUUCUUCCUUAUCGAUCUGGAUGCCUUUUAUUUCUUUGUGUUGUCUGAUUUCUUUGGCUAGGACCUCCAGAACUAUGUUGAAUAAAAGUGGGGAGAGUGGGCAUCCUUGUCUUGUUCCCAAUCUUAGAGGAAAAGCUUUCAGCUUCUCGGUGUUACAUAUAAUGUUGGCUGUGGUUUUGUGAUAUAUGGCCUUUAUUAUGUUGAGGCACUUGCCCGCUAUACCCAUUUUAUUGAGAUUUUUUAUCAUUAAUGGAUGUUGAAUUUUGUUGAAUGCUUCUUCAGCAUCUAUGGAAGUGAUCAUGUGAUUUUUGUCCUUUUUGUUGAUGUAAUGGAUAAUGUUGAUGGAUUUUGAAUAUUCCUCCCUAUUUCUAUUAAUAUACAGAGAGAAUUUAACACCCAACUGAAAAUGCAUCUUCUUUUAGGGUGCACUUGGAACAUAUACAAAAAGACAUACAAUAGAGCAUGUAUUUCCUUUAAUACAUUCCCAAUAAUCAAUAUGUUACAGAUUAGGUUCUCCAACUGCAUUUCAAUGAAACUAGAAAUUAAUAUUAAAAAUAUAAAUUUUAAAAAUAUUUAGAAACCAAAUAAAGUAUUGCUAAAUGACUCUUGACAGUGUCUAAAACUGGAUAAUGAAAACACCACAUAAAACUGGUGUGGGUCACAGUGAAAGCACCACUUUAAAAGGAAAUUUAUAGCUUUAUACGCAUUUGACAGGAAACA
This is a long non-coding RNA of Manis pentadactyla (Chinese pangolin), 7334 nucleotides long. RefSeq lists it as uncharacterized. Lineage: Eukaryota; Metazoa; Chordata; Mammalia; Pholidota; Manidae. The record is from RefSeq and is a predicted model, not a curated record. The transcript has 3 exons.